CUUGUAACCUCGAUGCAGGAAGGAUUCCUCACUGUGGCGGUCCUCUUCUCCUAUCGAGUCUCCAACGGUCGGAACGACAUGACUCUUUGCAGGGUAAUUCCACCUAGUUCCUGCGCUGUCAAUGUCAUCGGUCAAAGUGGAUGUGCUGUCGAGGGCAUAUGGGUUUUGCUACUGGGAUUCUGACAAGGGCUCUGAGGGUAACGUACCAUUUCGGUAGGGAAGGGGUGUCUUUCCAGUCGACCUCUACAAUUCUGCCUGCUUUUGCUGCCAGUUUGGUGAUGUUAUCUGUUGAGAGUAGUUCCGGUAGGAUUCCUCUGAGCUGAAUCCAGAAAGAAAUGCUAUCAAACUUGACUUCUUCCAGUGCAAGCCCUUUAUCCCAGCGAGAUAUCAUCACGUGAGCCCCUUGCACAGACCAGGCUCGUUCUCUUUCUACGCUUGCAAUAGGCGGGGAAUGAUGGCCUUUGGCGGUGGGGGUUUGAAACCAAACGACUUGAUGAGAAGGGUCAAAGGAAUUGUGUCCUGUGAUUCUUCUUGAUUGGUUGGGAGCUCCAUGGCAGCUUGCUUGUUGUCCCAAGUCAUCUGUGUGUUCAACAGUUCAGCAAGGGAAUAGUAAAAAUCGGUGGGAUCCAUUGGAGGUGGUGGGGUGUCUUGAGGUUGGAGAUAGGAUUUGGGAAGAGCAGAUGGGGUUUUUGAGUGGUUCUGUUGCGAAAUUGAUGGGUUUUCAUCCACUUUUAUUCUAAUUAAUCCAUUUUCACACAAAUUGAGUCUUUAUUCAAUUUAAUUCUAUCUUUUAAACCAAA
Molecule: non-coding RNA, 800 nt
Organism: Punica granatum (pomegranate)
Lineage: Eukaryota; Viridiplantae; Streptophyta; Magnoliopsida; Myrtales; Lythraceae
Source: RefSeq, a predicted model, not a curated record